CCUGGAAUGUACCCGUGCUU
Molecule: unclassified non-coding RNA, 20 nt
Filed under: Mus musculus (house mouse)
Lineage: Eukaryota; Metazoa; Chordata; Mammalia; Rodentia; Muridae
Description: oocyte_clustered_small_RNA8643
Source: RNAcentral